This 427-nucleotide ribosomal RNA is filed under the name uncultured bacterium. RNAcentral's name for it is "partial 16S ribosomal RNA". It matches the Rfam family "Bacterial small subunit ribosomal RNA", at positions 355 to 774 of the family's 1533-position model. The record is from RNAcentral.
UGGGGAAUAUUGCACAAUGGGCGCAAGCCUGAUGCAGCCAUGCCGCGUGUAUGAAGAAGGCCUUCGGGUUGUAAAGUACUUUCAGCGAGGAGGAAGGCGGUAAGGUCAAUAACCUUAUCGAUUGACGUUACUCGCAGAAGAAGCACCGGCUAACUCCGUGCCAGCAGCCGCGGUAAUACGGAGGGUGCAAGCGUUAAUCGGAAUUACUGGGCGUAAAGCGCACGCAGGCGGUCUGUCAAGUCGGAUGUGAAAUCCCCGGGCUCAACCUGGGAACUGCAUUCGAAACUGGCAGGCUAGAGUCUUGUAGAGGGGGGUAGAAUUCCAGGUGUAGCGGUGAAAUGCGUAGAGAUCUGGAGGAAUACCGGUGGCGAAGGCGGCCCCCUGGACAAAGACUGACGCUCAGGUGCGAAAGCGUGGGGAGCAAACA